ACAGGAGCGCACAAGGAGGAAGAGAGUUUUAUUUUACAUUAAAGACAACAAACCCGAAGAAAACGGAAGAUACUUAUGUUUGGUUUUUGUAGCGGCUUUCGGCUGGAACGAAGUUUACCUUUUGUUUAAAGAUUCUAAAUAUAUUAUUUUGAGUUAGAACACAACCGCUUGUUGUCUUCAUUUAUGCACCCACGCCUCACAAGCUGAUCCCGACCUCUCAAGACAUCACACUGGCAAUCAUUGGAGACGAAUCAUCGUGUGUCAUCCUGAAGUCUUGAACAGGCUGUCAGGUCGAGGGACACUGGAAAUGUCAGCCAAGAGUAAUGAUAGCUCGGAGAUGAGUCACAGCACCCGAGCCUCAAUGGACACAAAGGUCACUGACUGUGUUCUGAACAGGAUACAUCCACCAAAACCUACAGACUUUUAAAACUUGACUCAACUAAGCUGGGAGGAAAGGAAAAAGCUCCAGAGGUACCCAGCUCUCGUCUGAGUCCAUGCCCAGCUGAGCAGCACUGAUUUGGGCCUGGAAGAGGCUUUUGUCCCUGGGGAUACAAUGAAGAAACUUCAUCUUCAUACAGUAUUUCACCUUCAGCCUGCCAUUAGCUCUCAGAUUCCCCAAAAUGCAUGCUUGUUCCCAAAACAUUCAAAUUCCAGAACAAACCUGCUCCAAGUUUAGCAACCUCCUCCAGAUCAGCAGACGUUGUGGCCGAGGAGAUGGCUUCUGGCAGCUUCAGAGUGAAGGGCAACACAUCCCUGAGAAAAGGAGAAGCGAUUCGAAUGAAAGGGAGAAAGGCUUGGUCAACAGAAAAAGGGAAAGAGGGCGGGACUGAACGCCUAUUCCAAAAUGUGUGUGAGUCACGGCGUUGGGAAAGGGUGUGUGGUGCAUCUUCAACCACAUAGCCGGAGGUAAUACGGGCCAGUUGCUCUCCUCCCCGUGGGUCUGUUACAGACUCGGUUCAACAAAAAACGAGCGAUCAAAGCUGGAAAUUGUACCUACAGAUUUGUGAAGGACAUCAUCUCUCAGUGAAACUUUGACACCGUUAACGUGAGAAAUGACACCCUGAGGCCCAAAAAGUGACAUGUACAUGAAAUGGAAUUUAGGGUACUUAAAAAACAAUGCAAAGUAUUUUGACCAAAUUAAUACAGAUAAUAGAGAUGAAUAGAGUGUGAGUCAUUAAAGCAUGCAACGCUGUGUUUUUGACCUCUGAAUUUGUGGGUCCAUGUUUUGUUUGUCUCAUGCACCACACCUAGAAAUAAAUAAUCAUCAU
Anarrhichthys ocellatus (wolf-eel) is the source of this 1268-nucleotide long non-coding RNA. RefSeq lists it as uncharacterized. NCBI's taxonomy places the organism in Eukaryota, Metazoa, Chordata, Actinopteri, Perciformes, Anarhichadidae. The transcript has 3 exons. The record is from RefSeq and is a predicted model, not a curated record.